This 492-nucleotide ribosomal RNA is filed under the name uncultured bacterium. Its description in RNAcentral is "bacterial SSU rRNA". It matches the Rfam family "Bacterial small subunit ribosomal RNA", at positions 28 to 507 of the family's 1533-position model. The record is from RNAcentral.
GAUGAACGCUAGCUACAGGCUUAACACAUGCAAGUCGAGGGGAAACGACAUCGAAAGCUUGCUUUCGAUGGGCGUCGACCGGCGCACGGGUGAGUAACGCGUAUCCAACCUGCCCACCACUUGGGGGAUAACCUUGCGAAAGUAAGACUAAUACCCGAUGAUAUCCCUAGAAGACAUCUGAAAGGGAUUAAAGAUUUAUCGGUGAUGGAUGGGGAUGCGUCUGAUUAGCUUGUUGGCGGGUAACGGCCCACCAAGGCAACGAUCAGUAGGGGUUCUGAGAGGAAGGUCCCCCACAUUGGAACUGAGACACGGUCCAAACUCCUACGGGAGGCAGCAGUGAGGAAUAUUGGUCAAUGGGCGAGAGCCUGAACCAGCCAAGUAGCGUGCAGGAUGACGGCCCUAUGGGUUGUAAACUGCUUUUAUAAGGGAAUAAAGUGAGUCUCGUGAGACUUUUUGCAUGUACCUUAUGAAUAAGGACCGGCUAAUUCCGUG